UACAGGGGGGGCAAGCGUUGUUCGGAAUUACUGGGCGUAAAGGGUUUGUAGGUGGCUUGCUAAGUCAGACGUGAAAUCCCUCAGCUUAACUGGGGAACUGCGUCUGAUACUGGCGAGCUUGAGUGCAGGAGAGGAACGCGGAAUUCCAGGUGUAGCGGUGAAAUGCGUAGAUAUCUGGAGGAACACCGGUGGCGAAGGCGGCAUCCUGGACCGGUAUUGACGCUGAGGCGCGAAAGCCAGGGGAGCAAACGGG
Molecule: ribosomal RNA, 253 nt
Filed under: uncultured bacterium
Lineage: Bacteria
Description: partial 16S ribosomal RNA
Rfam family: Bacterial small subunit ribosomal RNA
Source: RNAcentral